GUUGGGUAUGGAGAUAUGGCACCGAAGACUUACAUGGGCAUGUUCGUUGGAGCGCUGUGCGCCUUGGCCGGUGUACUCACUAUUGCGCUUCCCGUUCCUGUCAUCGUGUCUAAU
Cinara cedri is the source of this 114-nucleotide non-coding RNA. NCBI's taxonomy places the organism in Eukaryota, Metazoa, Arthropoda, Insecta, Hemiptera, Aphididae. The record is from the annotation of a GenBank genome assembly.